Molecule: long non-coding RNA, 4056 nt
Filed under: Malus domestica (apple)
Lineage: Eukaryota; Viridiplantae; Streptophyta; Magnoliopsida; Rosales; Rosaceae
Description: long non-coding RNA (MDOM_LNC021145)
Source: RNAcentral
AUGACUUAACUAAGUGCAAUGGAGCCAACAUCAUAUCAUUGUGAGGCUUCAUUCUCUAGAGGCCAAAUAAGAUAGGUACUUGCAAGAGAUGCAAAUGAGUAAGCGUACUCUCUCAUUAUUAUUGAUGCUAGCCAACAUCAUAUCAUUGUGAGGUGGGCUUGGUAAUGAUGAGUCUCCCAUACCCUACUAAGAGUUUCCUCCAAAAUUCUCGAAUUUCGAUGAGGGAUAUGGAAUUUGCCAAAAAUAGUGGGUGGUGCUAUUUGAUUUAAAGACCCGGAUCAAAUGGCUUAAAAUCAAUCAAUUUAUAUUAGUUAUGUAUUUAUUUACCAAUAUAUUUGCAAAUGCUAUCCAAAACUUGACGAAGAAAAAGCCGAAAGCUUUAGUUUCCGGACUUGGUACUACAAUCCCAUAGAUUGUCUAUAAUGGCUUGUAUAUGUACCUAAGUAGUCUCAUCCUCACAAUCUUCCUAUUGAUAAUGUAUCAUUGGAAGAACAUGUUAGAUAAGUCUAUCAUAAAGAGGACAACACUUUUAAUGUCAUAAUUCUUCAAUUACAAAUUGUUGUAUGAAGAAAUAAGAGUUGCUUUGAACAACCCUUAGCUAACGCAAACAUUAGUGCUUGUUUCUUUGUUACAUGAACAAGGAACUUAAGAAGUAAGCACAAGGGCAUGGACACUUUAUGUGCCAUGAUUCUUCACUUACAAAUUGUGUAUGAAGAAAUGAGAGUUGCCUUGAACAACUCUUGAAAGUUUGUAAUUAUGUUUAGAACAUAAUGGUUGGUUGACAAAAAUAGUCCAACAACAUACUUAUGUUGAUUUUGAAUCAUUGAGUGUUGAAGUGUUAAACCACUUCUAGAGACGGAAACUAGGCAAGGACUUCACCUUUGUGUCCCUAUCCAAAUGGUUCACUAAGUUUAUUGUAAACUAUAUAGUGAACAAUAACCACACGCUCUCCAAAUCGUUUGAUGUGUAUAACACAAUUGAAAUAAGUUUCAAGAGAGAUAGUGGGAGUUUAGGGACCAUGACUAUUCUAGUCAAAGGAGAAGUCAAAUGAAGAAGGCGAAAUAACUCCAAGGGAACAAACUUUCUUUAUGAAAUGAUGGACAUUGGAAGGGGUAUUUGCAAGAAAUGUCUUGCAAGUGUCAAGAACACACCUUUCGAAGGUGUUGUAAAUUGUUCUUGAAUAGUUCAAAAUAGUUGGUUCUUCUACUUGAAUGCUUGAUUCUGUAUUAGUAACUAUGUUUUACAAUCGUUGUAAAAGUGUGGCUAAUAAGAAGCAGAAGAUUAAUGAGAGAAGAGAAAGUACUUCACAUUCGGAACGUGAAUCAAAUGUAGAUCUCUGUGAAAGCAUAUCGUACUUACUUCCUCAUAUGAACUACCAAAGAAAUUGGAAAAACCAAAGAUUGUCUUUACAUUCCAAUUUUAAGGAACUUAAUUCCGUCACUAUGAGAGAUGGAUGAAUGUUUUGUUUGACAAAACAUUGUUCUUUAUUAAUGAAUGAUUAGUUUAUUGUAAUCUAAUUGAUUAUCUCUAUAGUAGAGAUGAUAUGGUAGUGUUAACUGUUUAGAAUAUAACGAUGCUUAAAACCCAAAAGGUUGCAAGGUAGUGACUAAUCCCAACUGAGUUAUGAUACCUCUAAAACAUAAAUUACGAGUUGGUCACAGAUGGAUGCUUUGGAUCGUUAGAUCCGGAUCCAAUGCCUUCUUGUUAAAAUUGUAUAGAGGCAAAAUGUUUGAAUCUUUAUUCUUUUGGAAAGGAAGAAAGAAUCACAAAGUUGUUGAGGUAAAUUCACUUAGAUGUUAGUGGCACAUGUCCACAACAUAAUACUACUCAUGUUGUAUGACAUUCACCGAAGAUCGCUCUCGGUUGGACUAUCAUUUAUUUUGAAUAAACACAAGCCCGAAUACUUUGCAAAAGGUUUCAAAGAAUUCAAGAAAUGUAAGUUGAUGAGUAAGAUGUUUAAAGUAUUUACCUCCUUAGAUUUGAUCCAAGAAAAUGUAACACUUUAGAAUAGUUUCCUUGAAGAUAUCAAGGAAAGAAGCAUCAUAUGAUAAUGGAUUUCUCCAUUAAGAGAAGAACGAACUCGAAUAAGAUUUAGUUCGUUGGAUGUUAUCAAUUACCCACAUAUAUAGGAUAUAUACUUCUAAGACAAUAUGAUUGUCAAUUAGAAGAUCUUCCAAAAUUUUCAUGACUCCAUAGGAUGUAGUUGGAAAGAAAGACAAGUCUUAAUCGUGUUAAGAUUUGGGGUUGUGUGCUAAUAAGCAAUAUUUGUUUGAGAAUUAUCUUGUGGAUAUCCUUAAAUUAACCUUUGGAUAUCACUUCUAUAAACCAAUUAACAAAUGUUGUUUUGUUGGGUAGUUCAUUGUAAUCCUACAAUAUGAUUUGCCUAAGCGCAAAUGAACGACAGAUAGAACUCAAAGAAUGGGUUCUUUGAGAGACAAGAUGAUAAUCAACAAAUAUAACAACCUAGUUCCUACACCACAAGCUCCAAGGUAGUUGAGAAGGAUUUAUAAACUGUCUCAGUUGAAUGGUUUGAACUUUAUGACUAUGUCAUAGAGUUACACCUCUUAAUUCGAAAGAAAUAAGAAUGAAAAUCCUUAUGACUACAUUGAGUGUAUAUACGACAUAUACUCAAGGAAAUGGUAAAGUACCAUUUGACCCGAAAUAAUGAAACCUUUAUAGCUAAUUGGUAGCUUAAGGUGACUAAAAUCAAAGAGAUUGGUUGACUUUGAAGAAACCAUCCUUGACGUAGUCUUGGUUUCAAUUAAUUCGAAGAUUGCUAGCUACAACUAAAUGGUGAUUCAAUGUUUGGACAUGUAUGGGUUUCCGAAACCAUUAUUUAGAUAGUCUUGAUAAUAUAUGUCUAAAACUAUGAAUCACAAGACAUGUAAGUUGUAGAGAUCCAUCCAUCAUGAAUCUUAGCAAGCUAGUGGGAGCUAUAAGCGUCUUAUGAGAGAAAGAUCAAAUUGUUUGAUUUCUCAUAAAGAUGUAAAUGAAUCUUUUGUUUACUAGGUUUACAAAAGAUUAGUGGGAGUUAAUCAUGUUCCUAAAUUUGAAUAUAUAUAUACACAUAUAUGAUAUAUUAAUUUUGGAAAUGAAAAGGAUACUUCUUCAUUAAAGUUAUGACUUUAAACAUUCUAUAACGAUAGAAUGUAUAUGGGAGACAUAUUCUAUAAACAUGGGAUGGAAAUCUAUAAUGAUAGAUUUCAGGAUAUAAUUGGAUUGUAUCAAGCCCUAAUAAUAGACAAAAGAUGCUAGGAAGUUUCUCAUAUGAUGAUAAACUUCAAUCAGAAGAACAACUCUAGUGAGACUAGGAGGUGGCUCUUCUCAAAGGGAACGUACCCUUUGACUCCCAAAGAAAUAAUGCGUAAAUAGAAUCCUUUAUGCAUACACAGAAAGGUGAUUUAUGUAUUUCAUAUUGUAUGAAAAACGUUGAUAUGAGUUGUACCAAGAUCGGUACAAGACAAUAUCAAUGCAAGCCCAAGAUCAGAAUCAUGGCAACUGUCAAGUGAAUCCUUAAGUAUUUGAGAAAUAAUAAAGGAUAGAUUCCUCAAGAAUAAGGAAGAAUUAGAUUAACGUAAUGGAAGCGUAAAUGUAUUAGAUUAUGAAUCUAAUCCAUCAUUGGAUGUUUCUUCAUUAUGAAUGAAGAGAUAAUCAGAUAUCUUUUUAUUAUGACUAAAGAGAUAUUUGGAUGGAAACAUUAAAAGUAAUGACUUUAGUGUGUUCCAUUGUGAAUGCAAAUAUAUUGCCACAUAAAGCUUACAACAAUGUUGUUUGGAUGAGAAAGUUCAUUCAUGAACUCUUUAUUCGGUUCCAACCAGAAAGUGUCUCUAGUGUACCGACACUACAACACUAAUGGGGCGAUAGCUCAAGCCAAGGAAUCAAGGUCUCAUCAUGAUCUGAACUCAAAUGAGAGACUAAACCACAUGAUUAAGAAUCAUGUAUAAUGGUGACGUCGUUAUUCUCAAGGUUGCUUCUAUGGAUAACAUAUAAAUAUCCAUUGUCUAGGCCUACUACUCAGCCUUUUUUGAAAUGACUACAGAAGAGGUAUCAUCACUG